CAUCAUGUGAUUUUGAUUUGCUCAAAUGUUUUGAUUUGAUUUUCUACCAAAUUUUCAACCAAUUUGCUCAUCCUAAGAUCUUAGUUUGCCUUUUCAAAUCAACCUUAUUUGCUUUUUAGAACAUGUUUAUUUUUUUUCUCAAUUUCCUGAUUUUGGUCCUAAAAAUUCCACCCAUUUGCUCUUGGAUUGUGAAUUUUCAAAGUUUAAGGGAUCUCUCGUCUAGCAUGCAUAGCAGCCUGGGCGCCCGAUGAGCAUGGCAAUCGGUGGCAUAUUUUUCUUUUUGCCAAUGAAGCGGCUCUUGGUGAGAAGCGGCUGCUUGACCCCGAAUGACCCUGUCUGUAAGGCAUCACUGUUCAUGGUCUGCCGAUUUAAUUCACAUUAUUGGAAUUAGCUCUGCUGGUCCUUGUGCUCGCCAAGUUGGUAGAGGUGGCGGUGCGGCCAAUGGCAGAUCAGAACAAAAGUACCGAGUGUCCUACUUGUUAGCCUCAACGUGGAUCCACCCCUGGUGCGGGUCAACAUGGAUGAUAACGGCAAAGAUUCAGACAUACUAGAAGACAUGCUGGCUUCCCACUGGGAGACGGAGUGAGUGGCGCUUGAGGGAAGUCCACGCACGGCGAGGAACAGCGAGGAACUCGCAGUUUAUUUCCUCGGUAUACAUGUACUGAUUUUAUUCAACAUAUACUAAUUUGCUUACCAAUCUGUAUUGAUUUGCUUAAUUUGCUCUGCAACUAAUACUAAUGAGUUUGCUCUCCAUCAAAGUAAUUAUUCUCUGAAUUCAAACUGAUUUUGUUCUA
Phragmites australis (common reed) is the source of this 794-nucleotide long non-coding RNA. RefSeq lists it as uncharacterized. The transcript has 2 exons. Lineage: Eukaryota; Viridiplantae; Streptophyta; Magnoliopsida; Poales; Poaceae. The record is from RefSeq and is a predicted model, not a curated record.